Non-coding RNA from Oryctolagus cuniculus (rabbit), 6178 nucleotides. NCBI's taxonomy places the organism in Eukaryota, Metazoa, Chordata, Mammalia, Lagomorpha, Leporidae. The record is from RefSeq and is a predicted model, not a curated record.
UCCUCUUUAGUUUAAGCUAAAAUGAACUUAUUCAGGAAUCUUGUAAAUGAUGGAGGGCCAUUGGAAGGCUGAAAGAGCAACAUCUUGGCUGAGCCUGCUGCCAUCAGGGUGCUUUUGUUACUUCCUCAUUCCCCAAUAAUGCUGCUUUUGCCUUGAACAAGGAGGGCCAGUGCCUCCGAAACUAGGAAUUCAGCACCAGCACCAGGCAAAUAGACACAUCAUCUUCCACCCUUCCUGUCAUCGACUUCUAGUAUAUGUGGUCUGAACCACAAAUCUGUUCUCCAAAUAGCAAAGAAGUUUAGGAAAUUGUUUUCUUAAAAAAGUUCUAUUUUGAGAAGGUGGGAUUCACAAUGUGAAUUAUCAAAAGAUUUUGGCAGCCACGAGUGACAGGUAUUCAAUAUACUGUUUUAGGUAUGUUUGAAACAUAUUACUCCUAUCUCACCAAAUUGUCAGGGCAUGAAGGCAAUCCUUGUCAUCAAAAUGAUGGCCACUCUCGUCAAGAUUUCCAGGGCCUAUUUUCAUCAUGUUGCUGCCCUGGUUACCAAAAGACACAAAUCGAAAAUAUCACCCAUCUUUUACGCAUUUUAUGAUUUACAAAGCCCUUUUCACAUUUUUGUAUUUUUUUCUCACACGACUUUGGAAGGUGGCCAUUAUUACUUCCAUUUACAUGAAGAAAAUUAAUGACCCAAGAAAAUAUAUUUUGCCUAAGGUCAUUCAGCUGAUAAUUCCAUAUUGAAGGGUGGAAUAUAGGUUUUUAUUCAAAUUGGUUAUUUCUAACUGGAAACCCAUAAAUUGUUAAGAAAAGAGACUUUUGAGUCUGACAAAUAUGGGUUCAAAAACCAGAUUUACCAUUGUUGGUUUGCUGCUUAACCUCCUUGAGUGUUCUCAACUGUAAUGUGAGAAUCCUGGUAAUAUUCACCUUGUAAGGUUAUUGUGAUGGUUAAAUAAGAUAAUGCAAAAGUAACAUCUAAUAGUGUAACAGUAGGCAGCCAAUGAGUCCCAUGUAAUAUCAUUCCUGUUAUUAGGAAAAUUAUUAUUUGGAUUAUAGCACACCACUUAAGGAGAACUGGGAACUCAAACAAGCCUAGAUAUAAGAAGGCUUAUUUAUAGAGUACCCAGCAGACAGGACUUUGGUUCUAUUUACUUAACUCUUAGUAGCGAGGUCAACUGUUACUUAAAGUUGUAGGCAAUUUUCUUUCUCUAGAGGAGAAACUUGAUUUACUCUUGGCCUGUCUCACCUUGUUCUGCGAAGGAUCACCAAGUGAUCCCUUUAAUGUAUUUAGAUAUUGUUCAAAAUCCUAUCUACUUUUGUGUCUUUCCUUGCAUUUAUGAAGAAAUCACCCUAAGGGAGAGAGGAGAGUGAAUGAGUGACUCUAAGAAAGUGCAAGGAACCCAGACUAUUGGUAACUGAACAGUUUCUGGUGGUGAUAACUGGCUAAUGCUAGAAGGCUUGAUCCAGGACAUCGUCUGCUAUAGAGAAAAAUAUGGGUGAGAUCAGAGAGCUAAGAAUUCGAUAGUUGGAACCCCAGGUUGAGUUUGGGUAGGGGCAUCAUCCAUGAUUGAACCUGGUGGUAGUGUCCAAGGAGCCACAAUAGCAUAUGGUAUUGGGGAUGUCAGAUUUGGAAAUCUUAUUGGUUUGCAUGAUGAUAUACUAUGUUCCAGCAACAGUAGCAAAAAAUGAUAGAAAUAGAUCUUGCUUCUGAUAUCCAACUGUUGUUUUUCAGUGACACCAUCCUAAUUUAGUAACAGUGGCAACACUGGCAGUGAACAAGGCACUUGUUUGAUCAUCUACCCUCACCCUUAAACCAUGAAUCCAGGCUGAACCUGAGGAUUGAGAAUUUUUUCUGGUUGCAUGGAGAUAAAGUGCUGUGGGUAAAACAGGAGUGAGCAACUCCCUUACAAACUCUGGGAAGCAGAAGGGUCUCACAUAGCAAAAGGACGACUACUGACUUUUUCCCAGUCAUCAUGGACCAAGCUCCCUGCUAAUAUUUGCCUGGGAAAGCAGUUGAAGAUGGCCCAAGUAGAAAAUCAGAAUCUGCCACCCACAUGGGAGACCUGGAAGAAACUCAUGACUUCCGGCUGGUCCAGCUCUGGUCAUUGAGGUCAUCUGGGGAGUGAACCAGCAGGUGGAAGAAUCUCUCUCUCUCUCUCUCUCUCUCUCUCUCUCUCUCUCUCUCUCUGUAUAACACUGCCUUUCAAAUACAAUAAAUCUCUAAAAUGAAAUAAAACAGAAAAUAUUCUUUGUAUCUCUUUUCUUAGAUGUUAAAAUGUAUCUUCUUUAUAACAGAGACAAAGGAAUAUGAUAUCACCAUGGUAUUCUAACUAUUGCUUCCAAACCAAGGUUGCAAGAAGGACUAGUUCAGAGCUUUUACCUCUAUUUCUCCCCCUCUUACUUCCCACUUCCAAGUCUUGUUAAAAUCCUUAACUCCUCCACCAGACACCGUAAGAAAUUGAGCUCUAAGCAUCUGUUUUCUGUCAUCCCUGCUGACAGUAUAUUUUCAGAACUCUGGAAUUUCUGUUGUUGCUUAAUCUUAUAUCCGGGAGCAGAAUCUAUGAGGCUAGAGCAGGAAGCAAAGCCUGUAAACUCUCUGGGAUCCUGUCCUAAAUUUUUCCUUUCAGAAGGGUGGGGGGCAGCUGUCAAAUUUUAAUCUGUCAGACUAUGUGCCAGGCUCCCUGGGACUUCCAGGCAAUAAUAGAACAAUGAUUUCUCAGGCCUCUGAAAGUGGUUGCAAGUGAGGUGCUGGGUAGAAGCUAUAGAAAAGGUGCCUGUGUUUGAAUGAGUCCCAGUUUUGGAACAGGAUGUAGAAAAUCAGAACCAGAGAAUAAUGGAAAUGCAGGAAGCAUGGUGCAAGUGUAAAAUUAAUUGCAGGACUCUUAGGUGCUCAGUUGUGUAACUCAGCUCUCUAAAACCCAUAAAUUACUGCUCAAAGAAUAUGGAAGAGGAGAAAGUAAAUUAUUAUCAGGCAUGCAUUUAGCUCUUCAGACAUGUAAUCAAUUUAACUUGGAUUCUCUGCACGAUAUAUGACACUGUCUUUGAUCCUGCAAGAAGGUGUAUCUUCUCUGGGAGUGGAAGUGAGGUGUAGGGCAAAAAGCACAGUCCUUGGCUCUGGAGAUCCAGGUUUUAUCAUACUUAUGGCAUUUCUUGAGCAAAGUCUUAAUCUCUCAUGGCCUUGAUAUUCUACAGCAUGGAAAUGUAAAUGAUCAUAUUAUACAUAUAUCCCAAGAUAGCUGUGAGGAGCAGAUGAAAUCUCAUAUGAAAGAGCCACAGGACAGCAAAAUAUUUGGCCUGGGAGCUAUUGUCUCAUUGUGAGAAGUACCAUGGAGCCUGGAACAUGGUUCCACAAACUGCAACUUGCCAUUUUUCUCUCACUCCUCUGAAAGGCACAUUUUUGGACCAUUUUCAAGUUUAUAUAUAUUGUUUUCUGUUCUAGUGUCACAGUUUCUGUUCCCACAUAUAGGAUGAAACAACAGUAGAAAUAGCAAAGUACUGCUUUCAGGUUGGUGCUGUGACAUGGUGUACCCAUGGGUAGAACCCAAAUAGUCCCUUGAGGCCAGCUGGACUCUUUUCCCUGUCCCAGUGGAAAAGAUUUUACUCCCCCAUGAUAUCAACUGCCUCUUGAAAGGAUAUAGUACUACUGGUUAUUUGUUCUUUCAGUUCUUAGGGCAAACAAAGAACAAAAUUGUGGCAGGUAUUAAGUUAACAUUGAAAAAUUGUGAAGUUGCUUAAUAUCUGGGUCACUCUCCCUCUCUGAGCCACUUCCUUCAUCUGAGAAAUGGGCUUAUUGUGAGCACCAAAUGAAAGAUAUCUGGGAUAUAGUUAUGUCUAGUAAGUCCUUUUUCCAGUAAUCGUUCAUUUGUUUGAAUAGUUUGACUUUUUUUUCUCAACAUCUAAUUUUUGUUACCUUUGAUAAAGGAUAUGCUUUAUUUUCAUCAGUUAAUGAGUAUUAUGCAACUAGUUCGGUCAGCAGAGUAGUUCAAAGUUAGAUUAUAAGUGUGUUGCCAUAAAUAUACCGUCUACAUUUUCUGCUACAGUGAUCUCUCCAAAUUAUCUCUUCAUUCCACAUCUCUUCUUGUUAUUUUUUUAUAUUCUUGUUUUCUUGGUUCUCUGGUAUGUGUCAGAUAGGUUGGACUAGCUUUUUUUCCCUUAGAAGUUAAUGCAGACCUUUCAGGGAUAUGCAAGUAUUACAAGGAAAGAGAAAGGGAAGGGGAGUGGGAAGGAGAGAUUGACUGGGUAUCCUUUUGGCUGAUUGUGAUCCUGGAGGAGUUCUCCAUUAGCGUUUAUUCAGUGAAUAUUUAAACUUUAUAUCAGUUGCUGGGCCCCUUGAAAGCCUCCCCCAACUCUAAGAUGAGUGAGGAUUCCCUCGACAGUUAUUUGGAAGGUGGGCUUUCUGGUUUCAUCCACAGGGCUUUGCCUUUCUUCCUGUUCAACUCCCUCCCCAGCAGGCAGGCUUCUUCCAUUCCAUUGUUUUCUGCCAUCCUCUUCUUGUGCCCAUCCAACCACUCUGAGCCAACACUUUGCAGUCCUCUGCACCCAGCUUCUUGCUGAUGGAAGGGCUGAAAGACUGACGCCAAUUAGGACUUGAACCAAGUCCUAAAUAUGGAUUAAUAUUUGUGAUCAGGUGCUCCCUGCAUGAAGGUAGGUGAUCCCUCUGCAGCCAGUGAUUGCCCUGAAAGGAUGCACACAUGUAUGCAUAUUAAGGUGCAAUGACUGCCUAGCAUUCUUUAGAUGGACAGGAGCAACUCUUGGGCUUUAUUGAAAGUCCUUGAACUCUGAGUGGGCCUUCUUAAACUCAAGAUAAGGGUUGGGGGGCUGGCACUGUGGUGCAGUGGGUUAAAGCCCUGGCCUGAAGCGCUGGUACCCCAUAUAGGCACUGGUUCUAGUCCUGGCUGCUCCUCUUCUGAUCCAGUUCUCUGCUACAGCCUGGGACAGCAGUAGAAGAUGGCCCAAGUCCCACCCGCGUGGGAGACCUGGAAGAGGCUCCUGGCUCCUGGCUUUGGAUGCGGCCAUCUGGGGAAUGAACCAGUGGAUGGAAGACCUCUCUCUCUGUCUCUACUCUCUCUGUAACUCUGUCUUUCAAAUAAAUAAAAAUAAAUUAAAAAAAAAGACAUAGGUGAGUGUGAAAAGCUCAUGCUUUUUUCCUCAUAUGGAUGUAUAACUCAUUCUAAAGUUUAUGGAUUUGGUUAUUAUUUCUAUUUUUUUCUCAUUGCAAACACUGAGUGAUUGGACCUUGGCAGUACGAGGGAACUGGAGUGGCAGAUUUUUCUGGCUGCCAGUGUCAGGCCUGUUAAUGAUGGAAAAUAGAUUUGGGAGAAAGAUAUCAAUACACAAAUGCUGAGUCUAAUAUAGAAACUGGAGCCAUCUGCCAGAGAGCUCUGGGUUGUGUCCUCUUGGCACAGAGCAGCCAAGCCCUGAGGGGCCUCCUAAAGGAAGAAUCAGAAAUAGAAGCAGACAUACCUCCUGUCCACAGGCAGGGUGCUUUGGGGAAUGCUGCAAGCAUCAGGGCGACCUAUUUUUCCCCAUUCUGUUUUAGGUCUUCUGAUAAGAAUCCCAAAGUUCUUCUCCUCAAUUCACUGACCUUUUGAUUGUAAAUGAGAGGAGGUAGGAAAGGAGUAUGUUGCCUGCAUGGUGUGCGCAUGUGCAAGAGAGAGAACGUUGUUCUGUUCUUCUCUGACUGCUGUGCCUUACACUCUUUACUUUUCUUUUAGAACACUGUGUGCUUGAUAUGGUGGGCUCGCCUGUAUCUUUUAGAUUUAUCUAUUAUUUGAAAGGCAGAAAUAUGGAGAGAGAAGGAGAGAGGAGAGAGGAGAAGAGAGAAGAGAAGAGAAGAGGAGAGCUCUUCCAUCCACUUGUUCAGUCUCCAAAUGGCUACAACAGCUGGGCGGUGGGGCUGGAAUCAGGAGCUUCUUCCAGUCCUCUACAUGGGUGCAGGCGUCCAAGGACUUGUACCAUCUUCCACUGCUUUCCCAGGUGCAUUAGCAAGGAGCUAGAUUGGAAGUGGAGUAGCCAGGACUCAAACCGGCACCCUUAUGGGAUGCCAGCACUGCAGGCAGAGGCUUAACCUACAUCACAGCCAAUGGUGUCAAUAUCCCAUGUUGUGGAAUGUCCUUCCUGCAGAGGGAGGCUGAUGAAGAAGCUUUCUGGCCAGUUACUGGCUUAACUUUGAAGUGUGUGUGUGUA